This 253-nucleotide ribosomal RNA is filed under the name uncultured Eubacteriales bacterium. RNAcentral's name for it is "uncultured Clostridiales bacterium partial 16S ribosomal RNA". It matches the Rfam family "Bacterial small subunit ribosomal RNA", at positions 524 to 776 of the family's 1533-position model. Lineage: Bacteria; Bacillati; Bacillota; Clostridia; Eubacteriales. The record is from RNAcentral.
UACGUAGGUGGCGAGCGUUAUCCGGAAUGAUUGGGCGUAAAGGGUGCGUAGGCGGCUUAGUAAGUCAGAAGUGAAAGCCCGCAGCUCAACUGCGGGACUGCUUUUGAAACUGCCAGGCUAGAGUGUCGGAGAGGUAAGUGGAAUUCCUAGUGUAGCGGUGAAAUGCGUAGAUAUUAGGAGGAACACCAGUGGCGAAGGCGACUUUCUGGACUGUAACUGACGCUGAGGCACGAAAGUGUGGGGAGCAAACAGG